This 313-nucleotide ribosomal RNA is filed under the name Escherichia coli. RNAcentral describes it as "partial 23S ribosomal RNA". It matches the Rfam family "Bacterial large subunit ribosomal RNA", at positions 144 to 450 of the family's 2925-position model. Lineage: Bacteria; Pseudomonadati; Pseudomonadota; Gammaproteobacteria; Enterobacterales; Enterobacteriaceae. The record is from RNAcentral.
CAUGUUAUCGAUAUGUGAAUACAUAGCAUAUCAGAAGGCACACCCGGAGAACUGAAACAUCUUAGUACCCGGAGGAAGAGAAAGAAAAUUCGAUUCCCUUAGUAGCGGCGAGCGAAACGGGAAGAGCCCAAACCAACAAGCUUGCUUGUUGGGGUUGUAGGACACUCUAUACGGAGUUACAAAGGACGACAUUAGACGAAUCAUCUGGAAAGAUGAAUCAAAGAAGGUAAUAAUCCUGUAGUCGAAAAUGUUGUCUCUCUUGAGUGGAUCCUGAGUACGACGGAGCACGUGAAAUUCCGUCGGAAUCUGGGAG